CCACAAGUCUCUGCGAAGCCGAAAGGCGAUGUAUAGGGGCUGACACCUGCCCAGUGCCGGAAGGUUAAGGGGAGGGGUUAGCGUAAGCGAAGCUCAGAACCGAAGCCCCGGUGAACGGCGGCCGUAACUAUAACGGUCCUAAGGUAGCGAAAUUCCUUGUCGGGUAAGUUCCGACCCGCACGAACGGUGUAACAACUAGAGCACUGUCUCAACGAAGGACCCGGUGAAAUUGAAAUAGGCGUGAAGAUGCGUCUUACCCGCAGCAGGACAAAAAGACCCCGUGGAGCUUUACUGCAGCUUGGCAUUGAGUUUGGGCAUAGUCUGUGUAGGAUAGGUGGGAGGCGGAGAAGCUGGGGCGUCAGCCUCGGUGGAGCCGACAGUGAAAUACCACCCUGACUCUGUCUAGACCCUAACCCCACACCGUAAACCGGGUGGGGGACCGUGCCAGGUGGGCAGUUUGACUGGGGCGGUCGCCUCCUAAAAGGUAACGGAGGCGCCCAAAGGUUCCCUCAGGCUGAAUGGAAACCAGCCGGAGAGUGUAAAGGCACAAGGGAGCUUGACUGCAAGACCAACGCGUCGAGCAGAGUCGAAAGACGGGCUUAGUGAUCCCACGGUACCGGGUGGAAGGGCCGUGGCUUACCGGAUAAAAGCUACCCCGGGGAUAACAGGCUGGUGAAGUCCAAGAGUUCACAUCGACGACUUCGCUCGGCACCUCGAUGUCGGCUCAUCGCAUCCUGGGGCUGGACAAGGUCCCAAGGGUCGGGCUGUUCGCCCGUUAAAGCGGUACGCGAGCUGGGUUCAGACCGUCGUGAGACAGGUCGGUCUCUAUCCGCUGUGGGCGUAAGGGAUUUGAGAGGAGCUGCCCCUAGUACGAGAGGACCGGGGUGGACAGACCGCUAGUGUGCCAGUUGUCGUGCCAACGGCAUCGCUGGGUAGCUAUGUCUGGCAGAGAUAACCGCUGAAAGCAUCUAAGUGGGAAACUCGCCUCAAGAUGAGAUCCCUCAUCCGCAAGGAGUAAGGCCGCAGGGAGACUACCUGCUUGAUAGGCGGCAGGUGUAAGUGCAGCAAUGCAUUCAGCCAAGCCGUACUAAUGGCCGAGGGCUUAACCUG
This 1110-nucleotide ribosomal RNA is filed under the name soil metagenome. Its description in RNAcentral is "bacterial LSU rRNA". It matches the Rfam family "Bacterial large subunit ribosomal RNA", at positions 1813 to 2925 of the family's 2925-position model. The record is from RNAcentral.